UCACCCCUCAAGCCUGGCUUGGUGUUGGGUGCCGUCCCGCCCCCGCGGCGUGGACGCUCCCUAAAACUAUCGGCGGUGCAGCACCGGCUUCAAGCGUAGCAGACCUUCGCUUUCUGGGGCCCGGUGCGGCGGCGGCCGCGACGCAGCAACCUCUA
Molecule: unclassified non-coding RNA, 155 nt
Filed under: uncultured Rhytidhysteron
Lineage: Eukaryota; Fungi; Ascomycota; Dothideomycetes; Hysteriales; Hysteriaceae
Description: sequence contains ITS2
Source: RNAcentral